AGAGUUUGAUCAUGGCUCAGGAUGAACGCUGGCGGCGUGCCUAACACAUGCAAGUCGAGCGAUGAAACCGCCUCCGGGCGGACAUGAAGCGGCGAACGGGUGAGUAACACGUGACCGACCUGCCCCCCGCCCAGGGACAGCCCCCCGAAAGGGGGAUUAAUACCUGGUACUCCGGCAAGGACGCAUGUCCUGGCCGGGAAAGCCUUGGCGGCGGGGGAUGGGGUCGCGGCCCAUCAGGUAGACGGCGGGGCAGAGGCCCACCGUGCCGACGACGGGUAGCCGGGUUGAGAGACCGACCGGCCACAUUGGGACUGAGAUACGGCCCAG
This 327-nucleotide ribosomal RNA is filed under the name uncultured bacterium. RNAcentral describes it as "bacterial SSU rRNA". It matches the Rfam family "Bacterial small subunit ribosomal RNA", at positions 8 to 334 of the family's 1533-position model. The record is from RNAcentral.